GGGGACGUAGCUCAGUUGGGAGAGCGCCUGCUUUGCAAGCAGGAGGUCGCCGGUUCGAUCCCGGCCGUCUCCA
This 73-nucleotide transfer RNA is filed under the name Candidatus Omnitrophica bacterium CG11_big_fil_rev_8_21_14_0_20_64_10. Its description in RNAcentral is "tRNA-Ala". It matches the Rfam family "tRNA". From Rfam's summary of the family: Transfer RNA (tRNA) molecules are approximately 80 nucleotides in length. Their secondary structure includes four short double-helical elements and three loops (D, anti-codon, and T loops). Lineage: Bacteria; Pseudomonadati; Candidatus Omnitrophota. The record is from RNAcentral.